UACGUAGGGUCCAAGCGUUAAUCGGAAUUACUGGGCGUAAAGCGUGCGCAGGCGGUUGUGUAAGCCAGAUGGGAAAUCCCCGGGCUUAACCUGGGAAUGGCAUUUGGGACUGCACGGCUAGAGUACGGCAGAGGAGACUAGAAUUCCUGGUGUAGCAGUGAAAUGCGUAGAUAUCAGGAGGAAUACCGAUGGCGAAGGCAGGUCUCUGGGUCGAUACUGACGCUCAUGCACGAAAGCGUGGGGAGCAAACAGG
RNAcentral lists this ribosomal RNA (253 nucleotides) under uncultured bacterium. RNAcentral's name for it is "partial 16S ribosomal RNA". It matches the Rfam family "Bacterial small subunit ribosomal RNA", at positions 524 to 776 of the family's 1533-position model. The record is from RNAcentral.